GAAACCCUCUCCCUCACCCUGUCUUUAAAAACCUGAAAGCCAUUGGGGAGUUCGAGUCUUUUGAGCCUGAGCUGCACUUACUGCUUGCCUGGCCUUGUACUAAACGCGGCACUUUCCUUCACCGCAACCUUCAGUAGAUUGGCUUCACUGUGUGCCACCCAUCCUCCAGUGUCCUGCGCCCCUGUCCUCACCCAGCCCACCCAUUUGAGGUCUCCUUCAGCCACCAAAGCUACUUGGUGGAAGGGCUGGUGCCAAUGAAUAUCAACCCCAAUGGCAAAGGUUGGAUCUGCUGGGCUGCCACCAAGGCAAAGUGAGAGCUGAGAAAUGAGGAUUUGCUUGUAGAACAGACCACUUUCAAUCAGUUUGAAAUCAUCCAAGAAUAAAGAACUGAGAGUUUAAAAUUCCUGCUUAUUCUCUAGUUUUCAAGUCUAAAAGAUGAAAAAUACUGUGUAAUUCAUCUUAUAGUAUUAAUGGAUAAAACAGAAGCCUCUACAUAGUCCUUUUAAGCAGCAGCUCAUUCAAAAAUGGAUUGGAAUGUUCUCUCACUCUCAGAAUGUUCUUGUAUAUCAAUUUUCUUAUGAGAAGUUAAUAUUGAGUAACAGCAGCAUUGUUUGUCAAUAUCUUCAUGUGAUUGUUAGCGAUACAUCCUUGCACACAUUGUUUCAGACAAAAAAUUAGUAUUUUGCAUUAGAAAUGGAUAAUUAGGCAAUAAGAUACAAAAGCGAGUGUGGUUAUCAUGAGAUAAACACACACAUGGGGUGUUAUGAGGCACAGCCAAGUGUCUGUAAUCCCUCUAGGGUAUGAUUAUCUCGUGAUAACCACACACCCUGGAGUUGCCUUAUUGCUAUUAUAAAAUAUCUUUAUUAUAGGAAGAAAUGUGCAUUUUUGUGCAGAAAGGAGAUGGAGCUGGCAAUUUAGAAUGCUGAACAGCAGUUUCAGCUGAGCUAUGUGGUGUACAUAGAUUAAUCUAUCCCAUUGGAAUGUUUCCCCAGCCAAAAAAAAAUGUUCACUAAAUCCAAGCAGUCAUAAUCUGUAGUGAUGUGCAGGUAUUUGGAGCAUUUGAGAAAUUCCCUGCCUUGUUUUUAAGUUGUUGGUUUGAUGGUUGCAUUAGGUGAAUGCUGAGAUGCACAAUGACAAGAGAAUCUACACAGUGUUCUGAGAACCCAAAUAGUGGUUCAGGGAACUGUCAAAAUUCUGGACCAUAGUUUUAUCUGGUUUCUUGAUCUGAAUAAAUGGCUUAAAUUUCUUGAGGAAACAGCAUCUGAUAACAGAAACAUUGGUAAGAGAGAGAAAUCACUAGGGUGGAAACAUGAAGACUGAAAUGAACUCAAAAUUGUGAGAAGAGAGUUAAUGAAUGUCCCAUAAGACAUUACAAACUUGAGGUCAAUAGCCUAAAGAAACCUAGGGCUUUAAGCCUAAAGAAAGUCAAGGAAAAGAAUGUUAUACAUCAAUAAAUACCUGCAUUAUAAUCAUACGGACUGGAUUCAUUCUCUAUGGCUCCAGAGACAGAAUUAACUUAAAAAAUCAUAGGGGAAUUUCAUUUUCCCAUAAGAACCCACUUCUAAAAUUUGAGUGGUUAUAAAAUAUACCUGUUUUUCCUUAAAAAAAAAAAAUUCAGCAAAGGCUGAGUGUUAUAUUGAGAGAUUGCUCCAUUAGAGAUUUCCCAUAUCUUAAAAAUUGAUUCUAUAAUAAAAAAAAGUUAUGGAUAUAUAUAAAUAAAUCUGAGAAGAUUCAACAUCACCUAAUAUGUAAGAACUUAAAAGAGACUGAAUCUAAAGUAUUUCUUAGAUAUUUUCUGUUAGGAAUAGAAAUAGCUAGUUCUUAUAUGUAUCAUGAAUUUUUAGGUAUACUAAAUAUAUUAAAAUAGGAUUCAAUUGUAUUGAGAUACUCUUGUGUGUAAGUAUAGAGGAUUGACUACAUAUAUCCUAUUUGAUUUAAAAGUUACAGCUCAUUUUUCUAUGAAUUUGAUUGUUAACCUAAUAUUCUAAAACUGUGUUGAAAUCAGGAUGGGCAGUAAACAUUUCAAUAAAUUUCUAUUGUUCAAUUGUGAGGUAAAAUCAGCAAUGAGCCAAUCUGUAAAUUGUAUGUAAAAUAAAAAUCAAUAUUUAUAUUCUUGUACAGGCAACCAAAUCCUUGGGAAAAACUUCAGAGAUUUUAGCCCAGUUUUGGUACUUUCACAGUGCUAAUCAAAAUGUGUCAACUCUAAUAUAAGACUGUUGCUUAAUAUGGGAUAUAAAGUUGAUGUAAUUGAUUUGAUUGAAUUUAUUUAGAAACCUAAGAAUAUAUGUCACAUUUUAAAAAAAUGAAGCAAAGCCAAUAAUUGGUUUAAGUGUAAAAAUAAACUGUAUCUAGAGAUCUCCUACCAGCCAUGGUGAUGCUUUAUUGGUUUCUGCAUUUCACUAACUGAUAUGCUUUCAUGUAAAAUCAAUACCUCACAAUCUAAUAUAUUUUGCAUCAUCAUGGUAUGGGUUCUAUGGGUUAAACUACAUUUUUGAUGCAGAACUCCAGAUCUUUAUUUUACAGUAAA
Long non-coding RNA from Bubalus bubalis (water buffalo), 2527 nucleotides. RefSeq lists it as uncharacterized. NCBI's taxonomy places the organism in Eukaryota, Metazoa, Chordata, Mammalia, Artiodactyla, Bovidae. The record is from RefSeq and is a predicted model, not a curated record. The transcript has 5 exons.